Molecule: non-coding RNA, 495 nt
Organism: Benincasa hispida (wax gourd)
Lineage: Eukaryota; Viridiplantae; Streptophyta; Magnoliopsida; Cucurbitales; Cucurbitaceae
Source: RefSeq, a predicted model, not a curated record
GGUGCACCCAACACAAAAAGGACUUCAUAACAACAUUAAUAACAAGGACAAGAUUGACAUGGAAACUUCAACAAGUAACAGCAAGGAUGAUAGAAAUAUGAUCCCACAAAAACAUAGCAGAAUAAGUAUACCACGUGGCCCAACUACAAUGUCUGAGUUGGCACAAAUAAGGACAUCUGGGCAACGAUUAACCAUCGAUUAUAAUGAACAUGGAAAACCGGUUGGAUCUGGAGCAAAGAAGAUGCAGAGUUAUAUAGAAGUUUGUGAUCGACAACAAAUUCCUAUAAUAUGUCAUUCAAUGUGGACUCUAAGUUCAAACAUUAUAUACUAAUGUCUGCAUCUAGGAAGUUUCAGACUUUCAAGACAACGUUGACUCAAAAGUUCAUACUUUCAUUUAAGGAUGAACCCUCGGUCUUGCAAUUUCCACCCCAACAAUAUUCUCAUAUAGAGCAAGAUCAUUGGAAAUCGUUCGUCAAUGAACGAUUGACUGAAGAA